AGCGGCGAACGGGUGAGUAACACGUAGGUGAUCUGCCCAUCAGACGGGGACAACGAUUGGAAACGAUCGCUAAUACCGGAUAGGACGAAAGUUUAAAGGUGCUUCUGGCACCGCUGAUGGAUGAGCCUGCGGCGCAUUAGCUAGUUGGUAGGGUAAAGGCCUACCAAGGCGACGAUGCGUAGCCGACCUGAGAGGGUGAACGGCCACACUGGGACUGAGACACGGCCCAGACUCCUACGGGAGGCAGCAGUAGGGAAUCUUCGGCAAUGGGCGAAAGCCUGACCGAGCAACGCCGCGUGAAUGAUGAAGGCCUUCGGGUUGUAAAAUUCUGUUAUAAGGGAAGAACGACUUUAGUAGGAAAUGGCUAAAGUGUGACGGUACCUUAUGAGAAAGCCACGGCUAACUACGUGCCAGCAGCCGCGGUAAUACGUAGGUGGCGAGCGUUAUCCGGAAUUAUUGGGCGUAAAGAGCGCGCAGGUGGUUGAUUAAGUCUGAUGUGAAAGCCCACGGCUUAACCGUGGAGGGUCAUUGGAAACUGGUCGACUUGAGUGCAGAAGAGGGAAGUGGAAUUCCAUGUGUAGCGGUGAAAUGCGUAGAGAUAUGGAGGAACACCAGUGGCGAAAGCGGCUUCCUGGUCUGUAACUGACACUGAGCGCGAUAGCGUGGGGAGCAAACAGGAUUAGAUACCCUGGUAGUCCACGCCGUAAACGAUGAGUGCUAAGUGU
Molecule: ribosomal RNA, 725 nt
Filed under: uncultured bacterium
Lineage: Bacteria
Description: bacterial SSU rRNA
Rfam family: Bacterial small subunit ribosomal RNA
Source: RNAcentral